GACGAACGCUGGCGGCGUGCCUAAUACAUGCAAGUAGAACGCUGAAGGAGGAGCUUGCUCUUCUGGAUGAGUUGCGAACGGGUGAGUAACGCGUAGGUAACCUGCCUGGUAGCGGGGGAUAACUAUUGGAAACGAUAGCUAAUACCGCAUAACAGUAGAUGUUGCAUGACAUUUGCUUAAAAGGUGCAAUUGCAUCACUACCAGAUGGACCUGCGUUGUAUUAGCUAGUUGGUGGGGUAACGGCUCACCAAGGCGACGAUACAUAGCCGACCUGAGAGGGGGAUCGGCCACACUGGGACUGAGACACGGCCCAGACUCCUACGGGAGGCAGCAGUAGGGAAUCUUCGGCAAUGGACGGAAGUCUGACCGAGCAACGCCGCGUGAGUGAAGAAGGUUUUCGGAUCGUAAAGCUCUGUUGUAAGAGAAGAACGAGUGUGAGAGUGGAAAGUUCACACUGUGACGGUAGCUUACCAGAAAGGGACGGCUAACUACGUG
Molecule: ribosomal RNA, 495 nt
Filed under: uncultured bacterium
Lineage: Bacteria
Description: partial 16S ribosomal RNA
Rfam family: Bacterial small subunit ribosomal RNA
Source: RNAcentral